RNAcentral lists this ribosomal RNA (258 nucleotides) under uncultured bacterium. RNAcentral's name for it is "partial 16S ribosomal RNA". It matches the Rfam family "Bacterial small subunit ribosomal RNA", at positions 95 to 353 of the family's 1533-position model. The record is from RNAcentral.
GUGGCGGACGGGUGAGUAAUGUCUGGGAAACUGCCUGAUGGAGGGGGAGUAACUACUGGAAACGGUAGCUAAUACCGCAUAACGUCGCAAGACCAAAGAGGGGGACCUUCGGGCCUCUUGCCAUCGGAUGUGCCCAGAUGGGAUUAGCUAGUAGGUGGGGUAACGGCUCACCUAGGCGACGAUCCCUAGCUGGUCUGAGAGGAUGACCAGCCACACUGGAACUGAGACACGGUCCAGACUCCUACGGGAGGCAGCAUG